AUAUUUCGCAGCUUUUUGAGAUAAAAGUAGCAUGGUGACUGAGCAACGUCUCCAGACGUGUCCAUUAUCACAUGUAGCUAAUGAUGUAUUAUUGAAUUGAACUGUAGCUUCACAUGCUGGGCAAGUUUCACUAAAAUCUGAGGAAACUUCCAAGCUUUUUGCUAUCUCGUUCGCUACUUCCAUUGCAAUCGGUACCUCAGCCAACUCUUUAUAAGUAAAUGAUACAAAGUUUCUUAAAACAGCUUUGCAAUCACUAGUUAGAUAAGAGGGGUCAAGAGAUAUCUGAGAAAGUGUAUAUAACAUAAUGUAUAGGGUUAAUCGGUAUCUCAAAGAAUUCAGUAAAGUAGCGUCUAAUGCUUUUUGUUUAUA
Non-coding RNA from Schizosaccharomyces pombe (fission yeast), 369 nucleotides. NCBI's taxonomy places the organism in Eukaryota, Fungi, Ascomycota, Schizosaccharomycetes, Schizosaccharomycetales, Schizosaccharomycetaceae. The record is from the annotation of a GenBank genome assembly.